This is a long non-coding RNA of Corticium candelabrum, 2142 nucleotides long. RefSeq lists it as uncharacterized. The transcript is spliced from 5 exons. The record is from RefSeq and is a predicted model, not a curated record. NCBI's taxonomy places the organism in Eukaryota, Metazoa, Porifera, Homoscleromorpha, Homosclerophorida, Plakinidae.
GUAGGUGGGUAGGUAGGCAGGCAGACGGGUAGGUACUCAAUUUUUCGCACCCAGCGAUGUCUGUACACAUCUUCGCACGUGCACUCUCACGAGGGAGCAGACAGGUCCAAGUCCAGAAGCGAUUUGGCAGAAUAAUGCGAACCGUCUUCCAUAGUUCUAUCUAUCUUGGGUGUACUCUCUCGAAGGAAAUCUCGUUUGCGUUUGAUGGUUUCGUAGUGCACUUUCGUGGCCUUCCAAGGAAAGUACCCCACUACGGUACCGUCCACAUCCGCGAGAGCCUUCUCAAGACUCGGCCUUGACUCUUCCGUCUGCAAACCAAGGUUCCAAAUAAUCGACUCGACAGGUACCACUAGCGAUUUCCUCCAUGGUGGUGUAGAGCGUAUCGGUCGAGGCAGCGUCAUAGGCCACAGGGGUUGGAGCACCUUUCUCUCCGAGUGUCACCGUACAACACCAAACUCCAGGACAUGUCCAUCCGUUCGUAUCUCUUUGGAAGGACGUAUUGUAGCACGGUGUAGGGGCUAGUUGUGCCAAGGUGGAGACCUCCAUGUACAGACCGAAACUCGCGAUGGGAGAGAGAUCCAGUCCCAUCCAGAUAUGGAGUUUGUAGUACUGAGGUUUGCAACCAUUGGGUUUUUUCGGUAUGGAGCCUUGUACUCGAGUAAAGCCCGGUUCACAGUACGACGCUGGCACAGCGUCCUCCGAGCGUCCUCGACGCUGACAAGGACGCUCACACGAGCGUCAGCGACGACGCUGGCGCUGUACCAUUCACAGUAUUGCGUCUGACGAGCGUCCAUCGCACAAAGAACACACUGCAACUGUCGUCUGGCGCUGCAAAGUAACCACGAGUGUACAAUGUACUUGCGACAGACAUGGACGACGACGUUUUGCUUUUGUUGAGCUGCUGCGCCGUAGUCUCGAUCAGUCGUUUUCUUUCAUGCUUAUGCCCUUGUAGUCCUUUGACUGAACUUGCCAAAUGCAGGGAAAACCACGCUCACACUCAAAGAAAAGUUCAUCUACGAAUCAAUGAUCGAUGCCAUGUGAAUGAAUAGAAUUUCCGGGAUACGUCCAGUGGCUGACUUUCGAUUGGUUGAAGCGGAGCACGUGAUGUCAUCGGACGCUGGGUCACUUCCGGCUAGGAUGCUCGAUUAGAACCUUUCUCUAUUCCAGCGUCGUAGUGUGAACCGGGCUUAAGGCGAUAUCUCGGUCUACCUCUAAAUGCGAUACCGAACCAAUUGAAGAUUCUAAGCCCACAUCUGCGCGCGACAUACUGGCAAAGUAAGGAAUCAAAAAUUUCUUCAAAUAAUACCUGCGCAAACUAGUAGUAAGAACGGCUUAUCUCGAUCGUCUGCAGAGAAAUGAGUGAUAUGGAUGGCGGCUAGAAUAGCAUUCUUCUCGCCCCAAUUUUGCUGGAAAUCCACUCGAAGUUGCUAGGCUAGCAAAACUCGGAUAUCCGGGCAUUUGGAAACACGUGAUUUUAUUACUGAUCGAGUGGAGAAGAAUCCAGAAAUACAAGAAGAGCCUUCUUCUUUCGAAAGUGAACGUCGUCAGUCGUGCUAUCAACUCGGGUUCAGACUCUACUAUUAGUUCCAUCUCGUCUUACGGAAACCCGAGCUGGAAAUAAGUAUUCAGACGUCUCCACCCACAAUGAAAGUCCGUCUGGGUUUAGAAUCCGUAAACGUCAACGAUGCCAACACCUCGAAGAAAUUAGCGAAGUAAGCAGAAAAGACUGUCAACGGAGAGGAACCGAACAGGGACGGAAAUGCAGAUCUUAUCUAUGACAUUACGAAGAAAAUUUUGAUUAUUUAAUUAAGUUAGUGCAUUUUACAAUAUCUAUAUAUCUCUCUAUUCUAGGUCUGACACAUAAGAGCUGUAACGUUAUUCUCUGCAAGGACUUGAACACUCUUCUGCCCAAAUACAUCUUAGUAGAGCGUCACCCGAAGCAAAGUCCGAAGACAAAAACUGGAUUAUUGUAGAUAUAGCUAAAGAGCAUACUUAGAUCAGGAAUUUGCACUGCAAGAUUAUGUACGAAAGUUGUAUUCUAACGCACCACUGCCUUGAACAAGCUGACAUAAUGUCAGCAAAUAGGUUUUGGUCAAACGGAAAACCCGAAGACGCUGACUCUUUAAACAUGGCAUUGGAUUC